This 433-nucleotide ribosomal RNA is filed under the name uncultured bacterium. Its description in RNAcentral is "partial 16S ribosomal RNA". It matches the Rfam family "Bacterial small subunit ribosomal RNA", at positions 29 to 507 of the family's 1533-position model. The record is from RNAcentral.
AACGAACGCUGGCGGCAUGCCUAACACAUGCAAGUCGAACGAGACCUUCGGGUCUAGUGGCGCACGGGUGCGUAACGCGUGGGAACCUGCCCUUAGGUUCGGAAUAACUCUCCGAAAGGGGUGCUAAUACCGGAUAAUGUCUUCGGACCAAAGAUUUAUCGCCUUUGGAUGGGCCCGCGUUGGAUUAGCUAGUUGGUAGGGUAAAAGCCUACCAAGGCGACGAUCCAUAGAUGGUCUGAGAGGAUGAUCAGCCACACUGGGACUGAGACACGGCCCAGACUCCUACGGGAGGCAGCAGUGGGGAAUAUUGGACAGUGGGCGAAAGCCUGAUCCAGCAAUGCCGCGUGAGUGAUGAAGGCCUUAGGGUUGUAAAGCUCUUUUACCCGGGAUGAUAAUGACAGUACCGAGAGAAUAAGCUCCGGCUAACUCCGUG